This 468-nucleotide ribosomal RNA is filed under the name uncultured bacterium. RNAcentral's name for it is "partial 16S ribosomal RNA". It matches the Rfam family "Bacterial small subunit ribosomal RNA", at positions 28 to 507 of the family's 1533-position model. The record is from RNAcentral.
GACGAACGCUGGCGGCGUGCUUAACACAUGCAAGUCGAACGGAAAGGCCCUGCUUUUGUGGGGUGCUCGAGUGGCGAACGGGUGAGUAACACGUGAGUAACCUGCCCUUGACUUUGGGAUAACUUCAGGAAACUGGGGCUAAUACCGGAUAGGAGCUCCUGCUGCAUGGUGGGGGUUGGAAAGUUUCGGCGGUUGGGGAUGGACUGGCGGCUUAUCAGCUGGUUGGUGGGGUAGUGGCUUACCAAGGCUUUGACGGGUAGCCGGCCUGAGAGGGUGACCGGCCACAUUGGGACUGAGAUACGGCCCAGACUCCUACGGGAGGCAGCAGUGGGGAAUAUUGCACAAUGGGCGGAAGCCUGAUGCAGCAACGCCGCGUGCGGGAUGACGGCCUUCGGGUUGUAAACCGCUUUCGCCUGUGACGAAGCGUGAGUGACGGUAAUGGGUAAAGAAGCACCGGCUAACUACGUG